GCUUGUUGACGAAGGUGCCGUGUAGCCGAGCAUGUUAUGAGAUGCUGGGGAUCAGUGUUUGCAGCUCAUGCUGCUUUCCAUCUCCACCAGUCCUGUGCAGCUGAAGCUCUGUACCCUUGCUGGUCCCAGAGACGUUGGGGACUCUGCUCUUGGGGACGUCACCACGUGGAGAAGAAUGUUCCCAAGGCACAGAGCAGCCCAUCAGAGAGGGAGGGGUCCCCCCAGCCAAGGAGAUGUGCAGGUGUUUCCCUGGCGCCACGGCGCCUUGUCAUGGCUCUGCCCCUGACAGCUCAAUGCGUCUGCUCCUGCCUCAGAACAAUUUGGUGCCGGGUCGCUCCGCACUGUUUCAUGGACAGCACAAACAGAAGCACGCCUGACUGCAGCUGAGCCACAAGGGCCCUUCCCACCAUACACCCACCGAUGCCUCAUUGCCCCCACUGCACCCUGCCAUCUGCACCCAUGUGUACUUUCAUCCCUUGUUCUCCUCUGCAUUGCCUUUUCUAUCAGAGACAGUGCUAACAGUGCUUCACGUGACAGAGUGCAUGCUGUUUUAUACAUCAAGAUAGUAACCCCCAUAAUUUACUUUAUUUACCUUUUAAUCCAUCUAUUGAUUGCUGCUGUCAGUUCCUGCUAGAGCAAGGAACAGCUCUGGUACCCACAGUGUGCUCGUGGGACUCACCUCUACCACACGGGUUUGCAGUCAUUGGGUGUGCAUUGAACCAUUAUGAGUCAUGGCAAUUUGGUUUUCCGUUUGCUGGGGCUUCCUCACUGUGGUUAUGGUUUUGAGUUAUAUGGCUGCACAUAAAAUGUAAUUAAUAUUAAUCCUGCUUUAGCUAUGUGGUAGUAAAAAGUCUGUCUUUAUUGCAAUUGUCAAAACUGCUUUCAUAAUGAGAAAAAUAGACUGAUUUGACAGAAUGAGAAUUAUCACUGUAUCAGAAAUUAACUCUAUUUUUAGGGAUGAAGUCUGAAGUUUGAAUCAAAGAAUAGUUUGAGUUGGAAGGGACCCUUGAAGGCCAUCCAGUCCAAUUCCCCUGCAAUGAACAGGGAUACCUGCAGAUUGAUCAGGUUGCUUAGAGCCCCGUCCAGCCUGACCUUGGAUGUCCCCAGGGACACCAUCCACCACCUCCCUCACCACUCUUACUGUAAAAACCUUAUUCCUUAUGUCCAAUCUAAAUCUCUUUUAAUUGAAAACCAUUUCCCCAUGUCCUGUCACAGCAGACCCUGGUAGAGCCUGUCCCCUUUCUUCUUACAGCCCCCCUUUAGACACUGACAGGCAUAUCUGAGGUCUCCCUGGAGCCUUCCCUGCUCCAGGCUGAACAGCCCCAGCUCUCUCAGCUCUUUGUUCUUAUUUUCUGACCUGUCUUCAAUAUCAAGAAAACAUUUCCAGAAAAAACUUAUCUGACUGUUUCAAGAAGUGGAUCUCUGGGAGCUGUACCUUUGGUGCUCUCUACUGCACGGGGAGGGCAGUACUGCGUGGAAGAGAUAUACCUGUGACACGUAUAACCAAGAUGCUCCGAGUUAUGGGAAAACAAACACCAAAGAGCCCUUUCCAGAGCUGCUUGGCAACUGUCUCCAUAAAUCAGUUCUACCAAGGUGCUGUGCCUUCCAGAGAUAGUCACUUUAAUGGCAGCAAUUUAGUUGUACGGGCCUGAACUUUGGGGGGAAGAGGCACAUGGAAACCAACAGGAAUAUAAAACUUGGGAACUUGAUUGGAAAUCUUUCAGGUCCAGUCUUGGAAUCAUAGAAAAUGUAUACAGAUGAUGCUGCUCGUGAAGAAACAAAAAUCUAUUAAAACACCUCCAGUGCAUCAGUAAAAGUGCUGGAAAGAAAUGUGAGUUUUGACUGUUGCUAAGAAGAGAUGUGGCUGUGUACAUUGCACGGGUCCUCUCCAAGUGACAACUCACAGGCAGGGGAAAAGAGACAUCAUUUAGGAGUUGGACUAGAUGGCUUCCAGAGGUCCGUUGCAACCUCAACCAUUCCACAUUUCUGUGAUUAGAAGAGAUUUUAUCUAUCCACUUUGCUGUGGUUCUUACUCUGGUGGCUUUUGAGGAAGCAUUCUCUCCAGGUUUGUCCCACCUGGAACAUGUUGAAACAGCACGAGCAUAGAGAUUCAAGUUACCAAAAUCCCAAUGGUCAAAAAAAUGGCAGGUUCAGCUGCAGUUUAUGGAAACAGAUAUAAUUGUUAGGGUUCAGAGCUGGCAAUGAGCAGAGGAGCUGGCUUCCAACUCAGGAGGUCACUCAAACUUUGGGUUUGGACUGUCCAGUUUUCUCUGAGAAAUCAUGCCCAAACACUUCUGUGUGGUGCCAAAACCAGAAAAUAUGUAGGUCUCCUCACUGUAAAAAAUCAAACAAUUAUUACAGGAUCUGGAUAAUCUCCACAUGCACACAAUAGAAGAAGUUUAGGGAAAGUUUUGUUGAAAAGAGGAAAUUUUGUCUCAUUAAAUUUGGUGGCAAAAAAUUCCAAAUUCAAGCAUGAUUUCACCCUAUGUUACACUCUUGCCAUUGUGUAGAUUUUUGGUUAUAGAUAAGGAUCAGCCAGGGUUUAUAACUAAGUUUAUUUUGUAGUAAGUCUGUAGCAGCAAUUAAAGUUCCAAAACAGUUUUCACAUACUAGUAAUUUAAAGAAAAGUACAUCUCUGAAGAUGUAAUUUUCCAUUUUAAUCUCCAUCCAAAGAUAUUCUUUAACUUUGGGCAAAUUCCUGUCAAACAGUUUGAGUUAUAAUUGUAUGAAAAAAGAUACUCUGCCAGAUGUAAGAGAAAGAUGACUGCUGACAUUUUUAUUUCUUUUCUACAAGAUAAGCCAUGAGAUCUGACCUCUGAAGAACGGUGUAUAAGUAACCACUCAGGAACUUGUUCAUAAAUGGACUGGAAAAGUAAAGUGGAAAAAAAGCUUAAAUUAUUAAGCCUGAAUGUUGGGUAAUAAGAGUGAACAGUAGAAAUAUGGCAAUUAGAUAUUUAAAUUAUUUUUGAUUCUCAGCCUUCUGCCUGAACCAUACCUGAGACAGUAAAGCUAGUACAUAUGGAGCAGAUAUCAGAGCAUGGGUUAUUUCAACAUCCAGUGCAAUAAUUAUGGCUAUAUUCAGUAUCACAAAUCUCGAAAUUGCAUCAAGCAACUUAAAAAAUAAAUUAAUUAUACUAUCACAAGGCAAACUUGGAAGAAAGUAAUUAUUCUUAACAUAGAAUAGUUCUGAGUAAAGAAUUAAUUUAUUGAUUUAGUAGUGUAGAAUUUGAUUACUUAACGUAUAAAUUCUCCCAGGAAUAGAGUCCUGGGGCAUCCUGAGAGGAGUGACUGAAUAACUGGAGACCUUAACGUGUAGAGGUCUUUGUAGGGUGCUCAGUGUAUCGAGUAAAAGAAAUCAUUAAUCCAAGCUACCAUCUAGCUGUGUUUGCCAUCUUGACUACUCAUCACAAAAAUUUGUCAGACUUAUUCAGAACAAAAAAUACAGAUGUAAUUCCCCACAAGUCCCCAGAGGUGUUUUUCAGUAUGGUUAGUUAUAUAUGGAAGAAACAUCAACAUUUCCUUGAUGCCUGACAGCACAAAAUCCUCAAAUAAAUAGCUACAAUAUUGGGUCUCAUAGUGAAAUUUUUAUAAUGUGCCAUACAAUUUUUAAUAUCUACAACAUAUGCAAAGUAGGAUCAAUUUUCUUACACUAGCACAGCAAAUGCGCCUCUAAGAUCCAGUUAAUGGUAUUAAGGUGCACUGAUAUAUUAUUUUAUUUUCUGACUUUAUCUAUAUUAAAAACAAAAUAAACUGAGAUUUUUAUUCCUCCUUACACCUGUAGAAGUAAUUCUUUAUGUGGUCUGAAUGAAGAUAUGAUAAUGGAUCAUCUUAGUAGCAACGUAUCACUAUGAAUAUGCAUUUGUUUUUCACGAGAAGGAUAUUUUAGGAUCGGGGGGAUAGCACUAGUUCUUAAAAGUAGACUAAAAUUAAAGCUUCUGAGUCCCAGGUGGAGGCAUUAAGAAACUAAAAUACCUGAGUUGAGGAAACCCCCAGCUUUGUGAUCAUGGUUAGACCUUCCAUCUGUAACACUAGAUAUAGAAGGAAAAAUACAACAAUCUGUAUUGCUGUGGCUCCUGGAAAAGCUGAAAGUGUGGGUACCAGUUAUUUACUGGACAGCAUGAAACCACAAAAUAAAUUUAACAGUUUGGAGCCCUGAUCCUUCUCAUUUAUGUUUCUGUUUUGCACUGUCCUUAGAAAAAGCACAAGUCUAAAAAAAGCCAAGGAUAUAAUACCCUGAUUUCCACCAUCUACUUAGCCUUUGAUAGAAGUUUUCUUAUUGAUUUCAAUAACUUGAGCUGCAUAGAAUCAAUCUUGAUAUGCUUUGCUUUAUUGAGACUACUCCCAACCUUGAAGUUAAGCAUUAAGGCUCAGAUUCUCGUGGGUAUCUACAUGUUUAAUUAUUUUCCCACAUCAGAACUAGCAGAUAAAGAUGUGUUCCAAAUUCUUGGCCAUAAGGGCAUGACAGUUCCUAGACACUUGUUUCUGAACCAGGCAGCCUGCCAGGUGGAAGGCUUAUUUGCCUCAAAACUUCAAGAAUCCAGUGUGUCAGGCUGGCACAAUGAACCAAUCACUAAAUUCAGAUCACGUAAUACAUACAAGCAUGGUGUUUUCCUUUUGGUGAUGAAAACUACUGGAAUGUAAUACAACAUUUGAAAAAACAUCUCUGCCAGUGUGCUACAUUCUCUCUUUACACCAGCAGUGAGAAUUCCACGCUAAAAGUGAACUAAUUAUCUAAAAAAAAGAAAAAAGCAGCCAUCCGCAUGAAAAAUCUGACUUAAGAGAGUGAUGAGAAAUACUCUUUUUCAUGUGCGAUCUGAAAGCCACUUCUCUUUGCACAGUUUACUUUUGGCCUUCAGUCCUAGCAGAGGAUUUAAAUGAGUCGCCUUCCCUUUUUGGCUCUUUAAAUACGUUGCUUAAUUCCAUCAACAGAGGUCACUGCCGCUCUUUUCCUCUUUGGUGAAAGCAAGCUUUUUCCAGAGAUAAAACAGAACAACUAAUGCUCUCUACUAGCAGAGUUUGGUUUACCCUUUAGAGACUGGUUUGAGAGAGUUCAUGCAUAAUUUUUUGAGGUUGAAAACCAAAUAAAAGCAACAAUAAUAAUAAUUGGUGGGAAAAUAUUGAAAUGAUCCUUGGAACUUAAUGUAAUUUAUGCAGUUUUUAUUAUAGUGAUAUUUUGAGCUUUCUCACUACGUUUCUCCUUCUUUUCAUUUUGUGGUAUGACCAGCAGUCAUAUCUUCUCUGCAGCUCUUGGUAAUUCAGAAUCAAACAUUUUUGCACCAGUGAAGAAUAAGAGAAAAGUUUAUGAAAGGGUACCUUUAAAUUGCUAAGGUUUGGUUAAUAAAUUUGUCAGCAGUCAUCACUUUCAUCUAAACCUAUGUUUGCAUAAUUAAGAAAAUGAUGAAGAAAUAUUUGGCAAUAUCUAUCAUUAAGAGGAAUUAAAGCCAAAGAGUCCAUUUGAGCUAGCAGUAAUGUGAGACUUGCAGUUUUCUACUGCAAAAUCCAUUACAGGUUGAGCCAAAAAUGCCCACAGACAAAGCCCUUCAGAACUAAAGAGAAUAUAGGAGUUGUACAUAGUGAGACACUAUUAAAAAUAUGCAUUACCAUUUUAUGUGUACAAGCAGAAGUACCUCAGUUUACUGAUCAGGAAAAUAAAACUCAUCUCAGAACCAAAGCAGUCACAAUGCCUACUUCUGAAAAGGUGAUUUUCCUUCACAGUUGUCAAAAUUGCUUAAAGGAUCAGGACAGUGGAUUUCCAUUUCAGACAGAUGUGUUUAGAUGUUUAACAUGAAGAUGUCUACCAGUGGGGUAGGUAUCUGAGCUCUAAUUGGAUCUGAUGGGGUCUAAAUUGCGUGCCAGACCAUUGCAAAGCAGUCAUCCACGUUUGUUCAAGGGAUGUGAGCCACUGGCGGCCUUGACCUGAUGCCCAUGGACUCCAGCCCCAGGGGUGCAGUCCAGCUGCCAUAAGGCUGCCUCAAGUCCAUCUCUGAUCUCCAGCUGCUGAUCCAAAGAGCAGAAGGCUCCUGGAGUUCCCGUCCCAAAUCUAGCAUCUCUCAUAGCUUGAUUCACAUCUGAAUGACAUAGCCCUGAGUGCCUUUACCUCUAUUUUACAUGUGAGAAUACUGACACAUAGAAAGCUGAAGAGAUUUGUCCUAGUCCUAACACAAACCAAAUACCUACAGCCUCUGUUCCUUACUCAACAAAAGUAGAGAAGGAGAAACAAAUUCUGAGAGUUUCUGAUUCAGCUUCAAAGGAAAAAAUUGUGUGUCCCAUAAUAUAUUUACCUCUUACAAGUCCCUUUAGUGUUUUUUGUUGCUCUGGAAAACAUGCAGAGUAUAUUUAGUUUUUGGAAAAGAGCAACCAUGAGAAAAAUAACUGAAGAAUUUUAUUUUCUUUACAUUACAUAUAUUUUAAAUAUGACAAAAUUUUAUGGUGUUUUUUUUAGGAUGCUAAACAUUUUAAACAGCAGAUCUUGAUGCCUGUCUUCAGGCGGUGCACAAUGUCACUUCUGUGCAGAUUGUUUCUCUUCUCUGUGUGCGUGUGUGUGGAAAGAGCUGAAGGAACAGUACCAGCUUGUUCCUUUGUUCCUUUCUGUCAAUUUCAGUCACCUGAAGCCUAAGGGAAGUAAAGGCAGACAUAGGUCAAGGGAGCAGAGUCUCAUGUUUAGUUCCUGGCACUGUUCCUGUAUGAGGUACACCCACAGCUCAUUUGUUUUGUGCAAGUUUCUCUUUCUCCACCUUUUGCAUGGGCUUUUAACACUGGCACAAUUCUUAAGAUGCCGUCCCUCUGAGCUAUCUGCGGUUUGUGUGCACGCAGACCUAGAAGACACUGUGCAAGUAUUCUCAGUAUUCAUCAUAUAAAAUUGAGGUUGAAUGUAUUUGGGCAGCUGGUUUCUGUUUGCACUUUUUUCCUCACCCAGCGCAAGCUUCCGUGAUGGAAAGAAAAUCCUUAAGAAAGACAUGAAUAAAGCUAGCUAGAGGGCUAGAAGUUUUAUUCCAAGAUCCUAAGGAAAAAAAAAAAAAAAGAGCUCUUUUAUUUUGAUAUUUGCAUAUAACUUACUAUUUUCACUCCUUAUCACUGCUGAUAAUGCAGUAAUGUAAGGAACAAACGGUGUUCAAGCCAGUAUCUACUAGCAAGUCGAAAAUAGGACUUGAGGUACAUGCUAGCAAAAAAACCAGUUUGAUUUCAGGCUUCUUGAGGCCCUGGCACAGCUGCCCAGAGAAGCUGUGGUGCCCCAUCCCUGGAGGCGCUCAAGGCCAGGUUGGAUGGGGCCCUGGGCAGCCUGAGCUGUUGAGGGGGGCAGCCCUGCCUAUAGCAGGGGAUUGGGGCUGGGUGGGCUGUGAGAUACCUUCCAACCCAAACCGUUCUGUGAUUCUACAAUUCAUGACUAUUUUGUAGUUAGCAGAAUAAGCUUCUGAUGGGAAAGUAUUGUGCAGAUGUCUAGUGACCCAACCAUGUUUGCAGAUGUGGAUGACUGAUACCUAGUGCCCUCUGCUCAACAUGGGUCACUUCUUUUCACCUCUCUUGCCCCCACAAGGACAGUGUGAAAGAAGUCAUGGCUGAUGUUCAGUUUGAAUAUCUACCACUGACCAGCUGUCCUCAAGUGGCACAGUUGCCAUUUGCCAAAGAAAAGGUAGUCUGAAAAUCUGAGUUUGGCACUGUUGUAUUCAGACUAUGUCUCAUUUCUUAUGAUUGAAAGGUAGCAGCAAAUCCCAUUGUUCCAGGAGGAAGGAUGGGCUAGGAAUAAACAAGAACUAUUGUUAACCAUGAAAGUUCACUCAUGAAAACAAAAGAGGAAAGAAAAAAAGAGUUUCACUUGUGGGUAGCAUUAAGAGAGAUUAUCAAAAGGAAAUAAAUUAGGUAACUUAGUUCAGUAUAUUUCCAGUCAUCCUAACUGAGAGUAUUACUCAUGUUACCGUGACAUCUUAAAUUUUAAGGUGAGUUUGAUAAAACAAUAAACGUAAUUGUCCUACCUAAAAAGCAAACAAAAUAUAAAGAUAGGGUAAUCUGUUUUUCCACUCUUAAUGUUUGAGUUUGAUUAAUAUAUGUAGACAGAAAAUUGGAAAAGGAGGCUAUAAAGAAAGGAAGCUUAGAAACAUUUCACAGACUUUCCAGAGUCUCACACAUGCAGUUAAAUAGCAGUUUCUCUUCAGACAUGACAAUUAAAAGGUUCUAAGGGCUACAGGAAAACCCCUGAAAAUGUUGACAUUCAGUACCUACAUACCAGCAAGAAAAUAAAAAUCACCAUUAUUUUCAUCAUCUCUGACUUAGAAGUCAAUAAAUUUAUCAAUAGCAAUUUGAUGAUUUAACAUUAGAUAUCACUUGUCCUCUAAACUCUAACUACCUCACUCAUAAAUAUGGAUUAAGCUAUCGUUUGCGUGCUGAAAAUGAUCACAGCUACUUCUACUCUACAAGUAUCCAGCCUGAAACCUUGGCCAACUUUUCUGAAUCCCAUCAAACCUAAGUACUGCUCUAGGCACAUCCUAACUUAGUUUAUCUUUCAGUUUGCCUUUUGCUAGGUUGAUAAGCAUGGCACUUUUCUGCCGGUCCCACAGAUUGCUGCAUCCAAAGCUCUUGCUCUUGUCUGGACACUCGUUAUUUUCCAUCUAUUACUGUUUUCCUUCUCUGUCCUUGAUGGAAACUUUCCUACUGCACAUACUUCAGCUUCAAGCCAUGCUGUGAGGCGAAUUGUUCCAUCUCCUUCUGCAUUCCUUUACUGAUGUCUUCCCCUAGUGUGAAGCCUGAAUCUCAUGUGAGUCCUUCCAUGGUAUCCUCACUCCUGCUGGUUGGCAUUACUAUUCAGACAGCACUUUGCUUCCAUGGCUGCUGUACAGACAAUGGCAGCCUGGAUUUCACAGGUGCAGAAAUUUCCAGUGGGCACUGCUUUCCAUGGAAGAGAGAACACAGCAGUGUCUUCUUGCAGUGCACUCUGUCAAACAACAGCUCUGAAAAUUGAGAGGUCCUUACUCUACCAGCUGUCAUACCUUGAUUGCCCAUGCUCCCCUUGCUGUUAUUUCUUUGGUUGUAGGCUCUCUAAGGGAGAGAUUCUCCUUUUACUACAAAUUCCUACUUGCCUAGGAUAUUAGUUGAGGAGUAAGAACUACAGGAGGAAUAACAGCAUCCAACAGUAAUCAUGCCAUGUAGUAAAUAUGAAAGUAUUGCCAGUUCCUGGAGGUUGUGGAUGCCACGUCUCUGGAUGCAUUCAAGGCUGGGCUGGAUGUGGCUCUGGGCAGCCUGGUUUGGUGGUUGGCAACCCUGCACAUAGCAGGGGGGUUGAAACUAGAUGAUCAUUGUGGUCCUUUUCAACCCAGGCCAUUCUAUGAUUCUGUGAUUACUCAUAAUGUACUAGUGACCUUGGAAACUCACUCGCUCCUUCUCUAGUAUUCUGUUUGACUGUUGUUGCUUUUACUUUUAAAAUAUUUUCCCACUUUCUUCUUAUUUUUCUUAUUUUUUUCUGUUAGUUAGCAACUUCUAUUCCAGUGUAUCUUUUAUUUUCUCUGUUAUGUUGAAGGUGUGAGUUAUUCAUUAUCGUUACUCCUUCCUGAAGCUCACUCUUUCGGUAUUAUCCUUCUGCCCGAAGGAAGCAGUCUUAACUCCCCGAGUUUCGGUUUCUUCUACGGAUUUUUAAUACUGAUUCUUCACCUGGGCAUGAGUUUCCUGUGCCAAUUCACCUUAAAUCACAGUGCAAUUUAAAUUCCUGGGUAAACAGUAGCUCUGUACCAGUCUGAAAAGGAGACCUUGAAGUGAUUUACACAUUUCCAGGAUGUGGCCCAGGUAGUGUUUAGGAAUGCCCCCACACAUGAGGAUUUACAAACCAGGAGAGGGUCUAAACUCCUGCCCCCCAAAAAACACUUUAAUUUUCUCUACAGACCAGGUCUGAGAGUCUACAGACACAGUAUAAGUUACCUGUAAUGAAACAUUACUGCAGUUAUUGCCAUUUAAAACAGAAGCAAUAUGAUUCUUCAAGGAGAAUUCCUUUUCCACAAGUAUGAAAUAACCAUGAAAAUGAAUAAACAGUGCAACUUUAUACAUCGGAACAUAUUUUGUGUAGGUAUCUGCAGCAUGGCCUCUUGGCUAAUGGCCAACAGGCCCAUUAUCUGCAACUAAUGGCGCAGAAAAAAAUUUUCUUCCAGAACUACUUUCUCACUGCUAGGAAAGCAAAUUAAAAAUAGGCUUUACACGUCUGGGGACCAGACAGCAAAAGCUGGGAGAGCUCUGUUAACUGCUGAAUGCUCUAAGGCUUUACACUCUCUGAAGAUCUGGCUCACUGAUUUCCUAAGAGGAAAGAUUAGGAAAUGAACCAUAAGUGGGAGAUACGGCUCCUGCUAUGUACUAGCCUUAUUUAUAUUUUAGAAAGACUUGAUUAUUUUUCUCCAGUUCUAAUAUAAAUGGUCAUUGGAAAUUGAAUGCUUUGCUCCCUACUUAUAAUGGAUAACUAUAAAAAUGCUCCACAACUUUUAUUACAUGCAAUAAAAAAUCUGGGAGUCAGUUUUAGGCAUGUCUUCCAAAAAUACCCUGACCAAAUUGCACAUUUUUUCUCAUGAUCCAUGUCUAGUCCUAUUCCAUGCUACGGUCCCAUUCACCUUCCUCAUCUCGCACAGAAUUUGUACCUCUUCAGUUUCCCUAGACAAACUGUUCAUUAAAUCUUCUUAAGAGGAAAUGCUGAAUUUGCAGCACACAGUAAUUCCUGUUUAAUCUUUCUCGUGGGCCUCCCUUUGAAGACAGGAUAGUAUCCUCUCUUCACUGUUCUCUCAGAGUACCACUUUCUGUCCAUCACUAUCCUCAGUGUUUGCCUCCAAUCCAUAUCACUCACUGCUGGUUUUGGAGAUCCCACCUCCUUCUGACCCCAUGAUGCAGAAACAGAUCCCAUCUCUCCAUUCCCCCUUCCAUGCACCUACAUCAGCUGUGCAACCACUCACCUAAUUUUGCCCUAAGUUAAAUUUCAUAUCACAACUGGGUAUCCCACAGAAAAUCAAGUCUUAAAUUGCACUAUGAUUACUCUUUUUCUUCCUUAAAAUAAUGUUUCCAUUGAGAUUCAUUAUAUGUCAGUAUAAUUUGCUGUAGGAUUGAGAUGUGGGAUAAAGUUUUUGUUUAAAGAAUAUAUGAAACACAUAUUCGGUAAGCAGGGUUUAUUUGUUGAUUUUCAGAUACAGAACCGUGUUUGUUUGCUUAUUGUCAGUACAAAAGACAAAACUUACCCUUUCAUAAAAGGAAGUCGGAUAAUUUAUCUGGCACAAUGAGGAAAUGCAAACAGAACUUAAGAUUCAGAAAACUGAGUAUAGUUUCAGUACAGAUGAUUCAUUAUGAUCUGCUAAAUAUAAAAAAAAAAAAAACCUU
Molecule: long non-coding RNA, 11334 nt
Organism: Gallus gallus (chicken)
Lineage: Eukaryota; Metazoa; Chordata; Aves; Galliformes; Phasianidae
Exons: 6
Source: RefSeq, a predicted model, not a curated record